Molecule: long non-coding RNA, 18041 nt
Filed under: Gossypium barbadense (sea-island cotton)
Lineage: Eukaryota; Viridiplantae; Streptophyta; Magnoliopsida; Malvales; Malvaceae
Description: long non-coding RNA (GBAR_LNC021012)
Source: RNAcentral
UGAUUUCUUGUCAAAAACAUUUCCAAGCAUUUGAUUCUGAUAUUAUCAUCGCCACUUUGCCAAAAUGUGGCACUACUUGGCUUAAAGCCUUGACUUUCUCUACUUUGUACCGCAAUCAGUUCCCAAGGGAAAAGAAUCCCCUGCUCACCUAUAACCCUCACUCUCUUGUUCGCUUCAUUGAUUAUGACUUCUAUUUCAACGACACGUGUCCUGAUCUCGAAAAUUGUACUCUUUACCAGCCAAGACUUUUUUCUAUCCACUUGCCUUAUGCUUCUUUGACAACUUCCAUUAAAGAUUCCAACUGUAAGAUUGUUUACUUAUGUAGAAACCCCAUGGACACGCUCAUUUCUUUUUGGUCUUUCUUUUCGAGGCUUCGAGGCGAAGGCUUUGAGCCAGUAUCACUAGAUGAAGCUUUUGAGAUGUUCUGCCAAGGAAUCAUUCAAUUUGGACCAUUUUUCGAUCAUGUGUUAGGGUAUUGGAGGGCAAGCCAAGAAAAAUCGAGCAAAAUAUUGUUUUUACAAUAUGAAGAUCUCAAGGAAGACAUCAAUUCUCACCUAAAAAAGUUGGCAAUGUUUUUGGGGGUUCCUUUCACUGAGGAAGAAGAGAAACAAGGAGUUGUUGAAGAAAUAGCGAAAAUUUGCAGCUUUGAGAACAUGAAAGACUUGGAAGUGAAUAAGAAGGGCGUGCAAACUUUUGGGUAUCCACAAGAAACUUUCUCAGGGAAAACAAAGACUUUUGAGGUUCCAUGUGAAGCUUUCUUCAGAAAAGCAAAAAUGGGAGAUUGGAGCAAUUAUCUCACACCCUCCAUGGUUGAACGUCUAGAGAAACUUAUUCAAGAGAAAUUGGAAAACUCUGGUUUAACAUUUAAAUUGUUCUCUAAAACUUCAAAAGAUAUUACUUCUACAUGAUCAGGGAUGUAUGUCUAUUGGCUUUAAUUUAUGAUGAAUAAAUUCCAUAUAUGCAUGUAGAGAGUCUUUCCCUCGCAAAAUAAGGUUAUAUAAUAAUAUUGAGGUUAAGAUAUGCUUUUAGUCCCUAUAUUUAUCCAGAAUUUGAGAUUUAGUUACUAUAUUUUAAAACUUAAAAUUUUAAGCCUCUUAUUUUUUUCAAUUUAAAGAGUUUAAUCUGAUCAUUAUCAUUGUUUGUAAUUUCUGUCAAGACUUGUCAACUUAAUAUGUUUCUUUUUUUGUCAAUCAUGUGCAAUGUCAUAAGAAGACAAUCUAAUUAGCAUGCCGAAUUGGCAAAUUUUGAUGGAAAAUACUAAUAAUGUUAAUGAUUGGAUUGAAAUUUUUAAAUAAAAAAUUAAAGAAUUUCACUUUCAACUCUUUAAAUAUAAUGACUAAAUUUCAGAUCUUGUCUAAAUAUAGGGACCCAAUAUUAUUCCAAGGACAUGUAAUAUAGUUAUCUGAUAUUAAGGUUAUGGUUUAUGAAUAUCUAUAUAUCUAGAUAUAAUAAAACCAACUCGUUUGAGAGCCCACUAGGAAUAAAUAGUGCUAUUGUGAUAGGUUGUUAAGAGUAAAUAAGUUUAUUGUUGUGAUUUUAAAUUAUUUUUCACAUAAUUUUAGUAAUUGAUUAUCUGUUUAAAAUUGUUAAGUAAAAAAAAACUAAAGAGAUUUUCUCAAAAAUAAAACCAAUUAACUAAUCAUGCAAAGUAACCAAAAACAUAUCACCACUUCGCUUAUGCAAUGACUCAAAAACGGGACUAAAGAAUAUACAGAAGCUUAACUAGUGAAUCAACAGGCUUAUUCUUGAUACAAAAGACAUAGAAUUGAACUUAAAGAAGGGACCUAGGCUAAGGUUCAAAUAAAUAAAUUACAAAUUACAAAAUUAGUACAACUUGAAUCUCAAUCACAAGUAAGCAAACAAAACACACAACCACAAAAGCAUAUAUAUAUUUAUUUGUUUAGCUCUAUUAUUAUUAUUAUUAUUUUGUUUAGCUUUAUCAUCAAUCAGAUUUCCCUUUCCAUACCCUACCAACCACCACCUGCUUUUGUGUUUAGUGUUGCCAGAUUUACUCUAGUCUUCCUCUCCACAUUCUUUGAAUAUAUCUCAUUUACUUGUUUGCAAUAUUUUUUCUUUCCAUAAAAAAAAAACUCUCUAGACACUAUUAAUGAUUUAAUGAAAUAAUAAUCAAAAUAUUGAAUGCGGAUAGCAUUAGAGACAAAAAUAUUUUUUUUUUUAGACUUGAAUGAUAAACUAAAACACUUUAAUUAAUAAUUAAGCGAAUACUGGUCUAUAUCUAAAAGUUAAAAAAUAUAAAAACAAAUUUUAUUAAUCAAAUAAUAUCUUAAAAAAACAUAUGUUCACAAUCAUUGCACAAAUGAAUUUAAUAAUGCAACCUUUUGGCUAAAGAUGAAGAUAAUUUCAGCAUUAAAGUUUAAUAAUGCAACCUUUCGGCUAAAGACGAAGAUAAUUUUCAGUGGUGCAAGAUCUUCCGUAUCCCACAGCAUUAAAUUUUGAUUGCAUCUCCCAUUUGAUAAUAUAAAAUAAAGGAGAUUAUGACCCAAUUUUUAAACGUUUUUAUUUUAGGUAAUAAAAAAAAGUUUUUCAUUAUUUUGACUACUUCCGUUAAAUUUGUAAAUCAAAAUAAUAUGAAAUUAUUUUUAAAAUUUUGAUUUUUCACACAAUUUAAAAAAAAUAAAAAUUUAUCAUUUUAAUCUUCAAUCUUUUAAUAUAAGUGAGGUUUAACCCUCUUCUUAACAAAUUGGGAAUAACAACCACAUCAUCUAUGAAAAAUGGCCUCCACUUUCAUCUGCUUCAUUGAUUGGAGCAAUGCAUCAUCGUCGUCGCUAACUCUUUGUGGUAGAGGUGACAAAAGUUCGAAAAAAAAAAUAAAGGAUAGUAUUAAAACAUCAGACUCAAGAAGAAAAAGAAUAUUGAAAAUAGCCUUUUUUACGUGUAUAUUAUAAAAAAAAUUUAAUAUCAAAAUGGUAUACCAAAAUUGCAUGUUUGGGGUGGUGCCUUUCUUAUAGGCGGCACCACCAUUUUUUAAUAAAUUUUAUAUUUUAUAUUUUUAAAAAUAUAUUAUCUUAUUAGUGGUGCUAUUUACAUAGGUGACACCACUUUCAUACUCCUUAUAUAAGGUCAAAAUACAGGUAAGAAGUUGACCCGUGACCGGCCCGCCCAAGUUACACCUUCUAGACUGGCGGCGCCAGUCAUGCCUCCCUGACAGGCAAUAUUGGUGCCAGUCACUAGUCCCCUCCGUCGCGCCUAGACACUGCAUUUUGCAAUGAUUAGUCCUUUUAAAGAGAAAAAAAAGGAGAUAGGGAACCUUAUAAGCAUGGUCCCCCUUGUUGAAGAAGGGUCGGUAGUGAGAAAAAAAGAGGGCAAGAAAGGAGAGAAAGGAGAAGAUAGAAAGGAAAAGAAGAAGAAGAAAGAAAGAAAGAAAACAAAAAAAAGUAUGCAUUAUUUUAGUAAUUAAUUUUUUUAAUUUAAAGGGAUUAGUUAUUUUUUUGUAUUUAGUUUAGUGUUUGUGAUUUGUUAUGAAUGUAAUUUUUUAAAUUAUUUUAAAGUUAUUUUGUUAGUAAUUUAUGAUUAGGUUAUAAAUUGUUUGUGUUUAGUUUAGUGUUUAUUGUGACUUAUUAUAAAUGUAAUUUUUUUUGUGUUUUUUAAAUUAUUUUAAAUUUAUUUUGUUAGUAAUUUAUGAUUAGUUUAUAAAUUAUUUGUUUAGUUUAUUGUGAAAUGUGAUUUGUUAUAAUGUUUAUUAAAUUUAUUUUUAUAUAAUUUUAUAGGUUUUUUGAAAGAAACUAAACAGGUAUGUUUCUAUUUUAUUUUUUGUUGAUUCGUAUGUUUUUUAUGCUUAAAUAGUUUUUUGUUUAUUUUAAUUAUAUUAUUAUUGUAAACUAACAUAAUUUUUUUUAUGUAGGUAAAAUAUGGGAAACUAUGAGAUAUUUUUAUUGUGUUUUUUGUUACUCACGUAUUUACUAUGUUUUUACUGUGUUUUGUUGUUUCUCAAAUUACAAAUUAUUUACAAUGUUUUUUGCAACAAACUAAAUGAAUUCCUUUUUUUUAAUUGCAGAUUUAUAACAAAUGAGUUCUUUGAUUAAUAAUGAUGAUCACACAUUAAGUACUAUUAAUGAUAUGGUAAUAAAAUUGUUAUUUGUUACUCACGUCAUUUACAAAAUUAAAUUAGAUUAUAUUAACUAUUUUGUUAAUUUAAUAAUGUCAGGACUCGUACCGCGCAUUGAGGGGUCAUGUUAAUAUUAUAGGUUUUCUGUCAGAUGAACGCCUAAUGCCAUACUUGUAGUUAGCCGGAUUCAGAUCAACGACAUUGAUCUGAACCUUUGAUAUGCGAUACGACUUGAUAUUCGCUUUGUUCGAGCGAUGGCGUUCGGAGACCCACACAUUUCAUUUUCCAUGUGAGGAGUGCACCAUCACUCUACAGGAUGUUUCACUGCAGCUCGGGCUCCUCAUCGACGGGAAAGCGGUCACAGGCGUAAGUUCGAUCUCGAGGCCGAUUGCCCUUUGCUAUAACUUACUUGGAUGCUUGCCUAGUGAGGGAAAAUUUACGGGUUUGAGGUUUUCAUGGCUAAAGGUCAAUUUUGAGCAUUUACCGAGUACUACCAAUGAAUGGGAGGUGAUGCACGCCAUUCAAGCUUACAUUAUGCACAUUAUAGGGGGUGUACUCAUGCCGGAUGCAAACAACAAUAAGGUUCACUUGAUGUACUUGCCCCUAUUAUCUUAUUUCCAUAACAUUCGUUUGUAUAGUUGGGGGUUCGCAGUGUUAGCAAUUUUGUAUCGCGAACUUUGUCGGACGACAAAUCCUUUUGCGGUGGACAUAGGCGGAUGCCUCAUAUUGUUGCAGUCUUGGGCGCUUUACUAGAUGUCAUUCUUGGUAUCGAUUAUCCACCAAUCAUAUGUAUUUCCACUCGUGAACAUGUGAUGAAUUUUUACUCAUUAUAACAAUUAGUUGAUUUUUUUUCAGCUGAUAUUAUUCUAACAAUUUGUUUUCGUAGAUGGAGCACUAAUCCGGGUAUCGGGAGGUCAUACACGAUUCUGAUAUACCUUCUGAUGAUUGAGAAUCAUGUUGGAGAGGGAGUAAGUUUUUCCAAUAUUUAUGACAUUUUAUUAUUUUAUCUCACUCGACCUGCCUUAAUAUAACCAUGUUGUUAACUAUGCAAUUCAUUUGGAUGUCGUAUUCUGUCCCAUAAAUUAUUGCGGUUAUUCCCUCGUUUGCCCAUGUCCACUCAAACUUAUGGCGCAUUAACGUAUCCAUUAUCAAUUUUCAGACAGUGGACUAGUAUCAUGGUGAUCCAGUACUCCGACAGUUUGAUUGCAUACAGUAUAUCCUGACACUACCAGUACAGUUGGGGGACAUCCACAGGUUUAACAAGAGGGGGAAAUAUGAAAAUAAUUUGGCGGAAGUGCAUGAAGAAUAUAUUACAAUGUGGAACAAUCAGUUGGGACAUGUACCUCAAAUGGAUCGUGCUUUGGAUCUACAGCUCUCGUUAGAGUACAUACAGUGGUACUCUGAGAUAGGGAAAUCAUUUUUGUUUGGUGGGUAGUCGAUGGUGGUCCACCCGCACAUGACAUGACUUGGGCAAGCCUCCCAUACCCUUUCACAUCCUCCUCCUGCACCUGAGCUAGAGCUAGAGGCAGAGGCAGAGCUAGAGCUACACACUGGGGAUAGUUUUUAUCAUUCAGACUUGGGGAAAAUGACUAUUUUCUGGGCUCAUCAAACCACGAAUAUCAUUCAGAGUUUGAUAUCUUUAGCCCACUACUACCGUAAUACUCUACUCCUCCCGACUCAUAUCCACCUCAGUACUCUAAUUCUCUUAGCCCGUAUCCACCACAGCACUCCACUCCUCCCUACUCAAGUUUAUUGAUGGAGUUUUAGGCAUAUGAUUUUUCAUCUAUGCUUCACACACCCCCACGUGCGAGAGAAGAGAAUCUUGAUCGCCUCAAUCACCCACAAUGUGAAUGUCGACCAUCAAACCAUCAAUUUUAGGGGUUUUGCAAUUUAAAUAGUCAAGUUUGUAUUUAUUUAAUGACUUUUUUGCCUAAAUAAUACAAAUUUACAUAAACUAUUCUCAUCAAAUUCACAUCAACAUAAAAUGCGAAUUAGUUUAUAUUUUUUUAAAUAGCUUUACUUUGGGUAAAAUAUAUUUACUUUAAAAUUAAAAUAAAAGGGAUUUUAUGAGUAAAAAUCAUAAGUUAAGGGCUUAUUUAACUAUAAAAAUAGGUUAAGGGCUUGUUUAAACACAAUAUAAUGAGUUGAAGGGGAAUAAAAAGAAAAUAAUAAAUAAUGAGGGCUUACAAGGCAAUUAGCUACAUUUAAGGUUUGUUUAAACUCAAAAUGGAAAAUUUCAGUUAUUAAUCUUAUCGACAAGCCAUUUCAGUUAUUAAUUUAUUUUUUGUAUUAUUUGCGUAAAAAAGCCUUAUGUAAUUCUACAAAAAUAUAAAUGCAACAAAAUUUAGACUAACUUUGUAAUUCAAAUUAGAUUAAUUGCAAUAAAUUUUAGACAAAUUUUAGAUUCAAUCCUCUUUAUAUGUAGUGAAUGUAAUUAAUGCGGGCAUUUACUCCAAUUAAUAAGGGUUGUUUAGCAUCUCAAUUCUUACCCGAUCGUGACGAUUGUCCAAUAUGGUAGUUUCGGUGCGGGCAUUUACUCCAAUUAUGAUCGACUAAUUUGCAUACGCCACACAGCUUCUCGUCAGAUUUCUUUCUAAUGUCCAUUUCAUUAUGAAUUCUAGAUGAUUGCAAAUGACCUUUUGGAUUCCUACGCAACCCUUUGUCUGGGACAAGCUUGAAAGUCGUCGAAGGCACCUCCCAUGUAGAUAGGUCAGGCAAGACGGGGAACUCGUUCUCAUAGACACAGAACGUGUGCUCAAGGGUGUACACCUCAUCAAUAAAUUGUUCAACAUUGAGCGAGACUUUAGCACAAACUACAACGACAUGUGCACAAGGAUAAUGAAGUGUUUGGAACCUUCUGCAAUCGCACCAUCUGUUUCGAAGAUUAAUUCCAUAGGACCUAGGUGGUAUACCGGGUCGACGAUCAAUGGUUUCUAUAACUCAAAAUGUUUCAUUAUGUCGUAAAUAUACUUCUACAUUCAUCAACCUCACCAUUUGACGGUUUGUAACCAUUGCAUCCCUAACAUCUUCGACAAACACAUUUCCUGCUUCCAUCUAGUUGACUUGUUGCUACCCCAUUCUUGAUAUCAAGGUAUUUAACUUGUAGAACGUAGCCGAGAAAAUAGAUGAAUUUGAAAGAUGUCGUGUUUUCAUUAACACGGAGUUAACCCCUUUCGCCAAGUUAGUGGUCAUAUGACCAUAGCGAAAGCCCUCGUUGAAACUUUGAGCCCAUUGCCACAACUCCAUGGUACCCAACCAUUGUAGUAAAUGCGUGUUCGUUUGACCUUCCAUGUCACUCUCAAGUCGAGUCAUCCUUUGCCAAAAAAUAUGUGGCUCUAGCUCGUACGAUGUGUAUGUAUUAAGAGAAUAUAAGUUACAGUCUCACCCUAAAACAUUAAAACAUAUAUUGAAAAGAUAAGGUUAUCCUUUACCUAUUCUCACAACUUGUCUCCGCCAGUCUACAUUCUUAAAAUCUUGGUGGAAGUUAGCCGCAAUGUCUCGGAUGCAGUAAACGGAUCUUCAUGGCACACCGGAAUGCCUAAUAGUAGCAAUUAAUCCUUUCCCUUAUUGGAGAUGAUGCAAAUAUUAUCGUUACUAAUAACAUACCUCCGUAGGUUCGUAAAGAAGAAUUCCCACGAAUCCAUGUUCUCCUUAUCUAUGAUGGCAAAUGUUAUCAGGAGCACGUUCUUGUUCUUGUCUUGAGCAACCGUAAGAAGUAGGAUCUGUGUAUAUUUUCCAUGUAACAAGGUCUCAUCUACUUGCACAAACGGCUUGUAAUGGGGAAAUGCACACACAUAUGGAACAAACAUCCAAAACAUUUAUUGAAAAAUUCUUUUUCCUAGUUGUAGUUGAUCAUCUGGGCCAUAAUAAAAUCAUGUCUGCAACUCAAUGAUAGUCCCCAGCACAUACUCCUGCAUAGCAGCUAUCCAUCCAUGUAGCUCAUUGUAUGACACAUCGAAAUCUCCGUGAUUGCUCCAUUGCCAUUCGUUUAGCUAUUCAUGUCUUCCGAUAUGAUACUUGAUAUUAGAAUCGUACUUAUAUUUCGGCAAUCAGUACUAAAACUUUAAUGGUCGACAUGUCCUUCACCAUUGUCAUGAUGUACGUACAAAUAGUUUUAGAAUCAAGUUUUCGAUAAUCUUCUGCCAUACGUGUUGAGGUGCAUUUGUGAGGCCCAACAAAUUUUCAUAUCUCCCACAUCUACGACUUCUGGAUAAAUAUGGCUCAUACUCGUCAAUUACAACCUUCUACCGACCUCCAACACUCUCCAAUAUCUAAUGUUGGUUUAAACACGGUGACUUUGUAGUCCACUAAUAUAUUCAUGCUAUACUGCUUAAUGGAAAAUGCGCACUCUUCCUUACUUUCAAAUCUUUAGCCUACGAACAACUCCUCAAGAUCGGAAUCUACGACCAGCUGGUGAGCAUGUAGUAUUUCAAGGUACCCUGGGAACUCAGCUGUGUGUGCCACAUCGGGGUCAAUGAGUGACAUGUGUGCCCCAGGAUUAUUGCGUAUCACAAUAUGUCGAAUAUGGUCAUUCACGCCUUCGUCGUUAAUAUCAUUCGGGACCUCGUCUACAUCGGGAUCACUAUCACUAUCGACCUCGUGAUUAGAAGGAUCACUACUAUCAUAUCCAUUAUUACCAACCACAUCAGUCUCGAUUGCAGCAUUAAGAUCGAUAUUGAUCCUGCAUACAAUCGAUUAACUAUCAACAUACAUGGCUCUUAAGCUCCAUUUUCUUCACCUAAUGGAGUGGGAUAUUCAGUUGGCUCCACACUAGCUAACUCAGCAAAUAACUGAAUCGAUGCAUUUUGGUUGCUCCGAUUCCCACAAUAAAGAGUGUCCAUUGUCUCCUUUUCUUCGUUGUCUACAAGUUCCAUUUUGGUGAAUUUUAUGGGACCUAUUGAAUUGGAAACUUGUAGAAAAGUUUCGAGAUCUUUCUCCCACAACAUUUAACGCAUUUUGCACUAAUCCUUUCAUUCAUAUUAUCAAAUGAGACAUUUCUAUUAAAUCCCAUUACUAUUUGUUAGUGACAUUCAAAUGUAUAUCCCAUGGUUAUUGUCAAAAUUACUCCAUUGAAAUAAACACAUACGAAAAAAUGAUUAUCCAUCUUCAAUACUAAAUCUAUUAAAAACAAAUAAAACUUCUCAAAACAAUUUUGAACAACAAAAAAAAUACUUAUAUAAAAAAUUUAAUGAAUAAAAAGAGACCAAAAUUAUAACAAUAUGCAAAAAUUUUCAUUCAUGAGCUCAGACUUUUUCAAUUCUCAUUUCAUAGAUAUACAAAUUCUCUACUCUCUAAAAUUUAUCCUUACAUUUAACUACUUAAACUCAUUUCUUCGUUUUCUUCCAUCUCCGUUUUGGUAUAUUCCUCUAGGAAAUUCUCAAUAUUAAAUUUUGAAUUCUCUUCAAAUUCAUCUUCUACAAUCCAAUGUGGAAAUUCUUCAGGAUCUUCUUCCUCUUCAAUCUUUAUAACGGGUAUUGAAUUUAUAAGUUUUCUUGAUAAUUUCCUAACAACUAAUUUAUCAAUCCAUGGCAUGUCAAAGACAUUUUGCUUCCCAAUCAAUUUUCGCAAACCUACACUUUUUCUUGCUAAUUUCCUUGUUCCAUAAGAGAUUAUAAACUUCACGAAGUAUAUAACUAUAUUCCAAUAGGUUCGUGGUACCAAUGUCUUCCAAAUUUGGUCUAAAAUGAUUUGAUGCUUCUGUUCUAUUAAUGUCUCUCUAAGGGUCAAGUAUUGCACUUUAUUCUUUCUAAUCGAUUCAUGACCCUUCCAUAACACUUCUUGCAUAUUUUGAUUUAUGGUAAUAAGGUGUUGAAUGAUGUCUUCUUCUGGUUUCAUUGUAAAAUCUUGCAAUUCUCUCAUCAUCUUAUAAACUUUCUCCCUUUGUGCUGAAGUUGUUAUCUCAUCAAGCAAUAUCAGAUUUAUUGUCAUUUCUACUAAUAUCUAUGACAAAAAAUAUUUUUUUUCUUGAUUUUCAAUUUUUAUCUAUUUUCCUCUAGUGUCAUCACUAACUAAUAAUUAAUUUAUAAUAGUUACUAACAAAAUAACUUUCAAAUAAAUUAAAAAAUAUUAAAGAUUACAUUCUUAACCUAACAAAUCACAAUAAACCCUAAACAAACAAUUAACCUAAUCACAAAACUUACUAACAAAAUUAAUAAAAAUUUACAUUCAUAACCUAAAAAAUCACAAUAAACAUUAAACUAAACAAAUAUUUUAUAAUAGUAACUAACAAAAUAACAUUAAAAUAAAUUAAAAACAACAUAAAAAUAACAAUAAACAAACUACACAAUACUAACAAAAUAAUUUAUCCUCAUCAUAAUUCAUCCUAUUUAAAAAAGAAAAACAUUAUCCUUCUUUUUCCUUCUCCUUUCUUUCUUUCUUUCUUUUUCUUUCUUCUCCCUCUCUUCUUUCUUCUCUUCUACUAUUUUUUAACCCUCAUUCUCUUCUUCACUGGGACCAUUAAAUAGUGUCCUAAAAUCGGACCACUGGUGCCGCCUAACAGAUAAGGGUCACUAGUGCCGCCUAUCAGAUAGACACCAUCCCCUUAUACCAGUUUUGUAUUUGUACACGGCCUUAUACUAGACCUGAGAAUGCCUAGGAGAAAGGCACCACUAAACAAAUAAUAUUAUUUUUAAAAAAAUAAAAAAAAAUAAAUUUUAUUAAAAAUAUUGGUGGUGCCACCUAUGAGAAAGGCACCACCCCUAAACAUACCAUUUUGAUAUUUAAUCAUACUAACAUACCAUUUUGGUAUUAAUUUUUUUUAUAAUAUUAACGUAAAAAAGAUUUGAAAAUAUUAAACACAAUACCGAAGUUUAGUUCCACUAUUGGCCUUUUCCCUUGAAAAUAAAGGAGAUGAGGACCCAAUUUUUAAACGUUUUUACUUUAGGUAAUAAAAAAAGUUUUUCAUUAUUUUAACUACUUCUGUUAAAAUUGUAAAUCAAAAUAUAUAUGAAAUUACUUUUAAAAUUUUGAUUUUUUGUACAAUGUUUUAAAAAAAUUACCAUUUUAAUCUUCAAUCUUUUAAUAUAUGUGAGGUUGAAUCCUAUUCUUAACAAAUUGGGAAUAACAACCACAUCAUCUAUGAAAAAUGGCCUCCUCUUUCAUCUGAUUUGUUGAUUAGAGUAAUACGUCACCUUUAACGCUGACUCUUUGUAGUAGAGGUGACAAAAAAUCGAAAAAAAAAACUUAAAAAAUAGUAUGGAAACAUCAAAUAAAAAAAGAAAAGAAAUAUUGAAAAUAUUAAAGAUAAUGUCGAAGUUUCCAAAUCUACUAUUGGCCUCUUCACUUCAAGAUGAUUUACAAAUAAUUUUCUUUUAAAGUCUAUGCCUUUUUCUCUUUUUUAUAAUAGCUGUAAUAGUAAAGCUAGAAUUUUUAUACAAAUUUUUGGAUUUUUUAUAUCUGUGAGGAUUUAAGUUUUAGGUAUGGGUUAUUUUUUUUGGAAACUGUUGUUAAGUGCUUUGAAUGGUUGCCAAUUCCCCUAUGCCUCUAAUAUUUGCAUAAGAACAAUGAAAACCCUAACUAUUAUAUGCCACAAUUAUUACUAGUUAAGGAAGCAGAGCAUGUUAUUUAUGCCCUAAAGACAUUGGAAUUUAUUGUGAAUUUUUCACAGAGGAUAUGGUUGUUGUUCUCAAAUUGUUAAGGUGAGAGGUAAACCUCGUUUAUAUAAAAAGAAUGAGACUAAAAUGAUGAUUUUUAUUUCAUUUAAAUAUGUGAAAAAUCAAAAUUUUAGAAAUAAUUUCACGUUAGAUAUCUAUUUAUCAUUUUCACAGGAGUGUGUAAACUGAUCUAACAGGUGUACCUAUUUUUUCGGAUGCUUAUCUUUAAAACUUUUGAAAAUGAGGCGUUUACCCUAAAAUAAAUUAUUAAAGCAUAAAAUAUUUGAUAUGGUCUCUUUUUGGUCCGCUCCACAAAACUUGUUAUAUAAACAGAAAACUAGUUUUGAAUGUUGUUUUCCUUAUCCCUUUCUCGACCAACUACUUGUUUCACCAUGGAUAAAAUAGAUAUGUGCAACCCCAGCAUGGUUUCCACCUCUCAUGAUGUUGAGGACUCUUGGGAUGAUGAAUUCCAACAACUGGUGCAAACCUUCCCUAAAGAUAAAAGCUUCACAGGAAUGAAUCUUUACUUCUUCCAAGGGUUCUGGUGCCCAUCAAUUGUUUUAAAAGCUGUGAUUUCUUGUCAAAAACAUUUUCAAGCAUUUGAUUCUGAUAUUAUCAUCGCCACUUUGCCAAAAUGUGGCACUACUUGGCUUAAAGCCUUGACUUUCUCCACUUUGUACCGCAAUCAGUUCCCAAGGGAAAAGAAUCCCUUGCUCACCUAUAACCCUCACUCUCUUGUUCGCUUCAUUGAUUAUGACUUCUAUUUCAACGACACGUGUCCUGAUCUCGAAAAUUGUACUCUUUAUCAGCCAAGACUUUUUUCUAUCCACUUGCCUUAUGCUUCUUUGCCAACUUCCAUUAAAAAUUCCAACUGUAAGAUUGUUUACUUAUGUAGAAACCCCAUGGACACGCUCAUUUCUUUUUGGUCUUUCUUUUCCAGGCUUCGAGGCGAAGGCUUUGAGCCAGUAUCACUAGAUGGAGCUUUUAAGAUGUUCUGCCAGGGAAUCAAUGAAUUUGGACCAUUUUUCGAUCAUGUGUCAGGGUAUUGGAGGGCAAGCCAAGAAAAAUCGAGCAAAAUAUUGUUUUUACAAUAUGAAGAUCUUCAGGAAGACAUCACUUCUCACCUAAAAAAGUUGGCAAUGUUUUUGGGGGUUCCUUUCACUGAGGAAGAAGAGAAACAAGGAGUUGUUGAAGAAAUAGCGAAAAUUUGCAGCUUUGAGAACAUGAAAGACUUGGAAGUGAAUAAGAAGGGCGUGCAAACUUUUGGGUAUCCACAAGAAACUUUCUCAGGGAAAACAAAGACUUUUGAGGUUCCAUGUGAAGCUUUCUUCAGAAAAGCAAAAAUGGGAGAUUGGAGCAAUUAUCUCACACCCUCCAUGGUUGAACGUCUAGAGAAACUUAUUCAAGAGAAAUUGGAAAACUCUGGUUUAACAUUUAAAUUGUUCUCUAAAACUUCAAAAGAUAUUACUUCUACAUGAUCAGGGAUGUAUGUCUAUUGGCUUUAAUUUAUGAUGAAUAAAUUCCAUAUAUGCAUGUAGAGAGUCUUUCCCUCGCAAAAUAAGGUUAUAUAAUAAUAUUGAGGUUAAGAUAUGCUUUUAGUCCCUAUAUUUAUCCAGAAUUUGAGAUUUAGUUACUAUAUUUUAAAACUUAAAAUUUUAAGCCUCUUAUUUUUUUCAAUUUAAAGAGUUUAAUCUGAUCAUUAUCAUUGUUUGUAAUUUCUGUCAAGACUUGUCAACUUAAUAUGUUUCUUUUUUUGUCAAUCAUGUGCAAUGUCAUAAGAAGGCAAUCUAAUUAGCAUGCCGAAUUGGCAAAUUUUGAUGGAAAAUACUAAUAAUGUUAAUGAUUGGAUUGAAAUUUUUAAAUAAAAAAUUAAAGAAUUUCACUUUCAACUCUUUAAAUAUAAUGACUAAAUUUCAGAUCUUGUCUAAAUAUAGGGACCCAAUAUUAUUCCAAGGACAUGUAAUAUAGUUAUCUGAUAUUAAGGUUAUGGUUUAUGAAUAUCUAUAUAUCUAGAUAUAAUAAAACCAACUCGUUUGAGAGCCCACUAGGAAUAAAUAGUGCUAUUGUGAUAGGUUGUUAAGAGUAAAUAAGUUUAUUGUUGUGAUUUUAAAUUAUUUUUCACAUAAUUUUAGUAAUUGAUUAUCUGUUUAAAAUUGUUAAGUAAAAAAAAACUAAAGAGAUUUUCUCAAAAAUAAAACCAAUUAACUAAUCAUGCAAAGUAACCAAAAACAUAUCACCACUUCGCUUAUGCAAUGACUCAAAAACGGGACUAAAGAAUAUACAGAAGCUUAACUAGUGAAUCAACAGGCUUAUUCUUGAUACAAAAGACAUAGAAUUGAACUUAAAGAAGGGACCUAGGCUAAGGUUCAAAUAAAUAAAUUACAAAUUACAAAAUUAGUACAACUUGAAUCUCAAUCACAAGUAAGCAAACAAAACACACAACCACAAAAGCAUAUAUAUAUUUAUUUGUUUAGCUCUAUUAUUAUUAUUAUUAUUUUGUUUAGCUUUAUCAUCAAUCAGAUUUCCCUUUCCAUACCCUACCAACCACCACCUGCUUUUGUGUUUAGUGUUGCCAGAUUUACUCUAGUCUUCCUCUCCACAUUCUUUGAAUAUAUCUCAUUUACUUGUUUGCAAUAUUUUUUCUUUCCAUAAAAAAAAAACUCUCUAGACACUAUUAAUGAUUUAAUGAAAUAAUAAUCAAAAUAUUGAAUGCGGAUAGCAUUAGAGACAAAAAUAUUUUUUUUUUAGACUUGAAUGAUAAACUAAAACACUUUAAUUAAUAAUUAAGCGAAUACUUGUCUAUAUCUAAAAGUUAAAAAAUAUAAAAACAAAUUUUAUUAAUCAAAUAAUAUCUUAAAAAAACAUAUGUUCACAAUCAUUGCACAAAUGAAUUUAAUAAUGCAACCUUUUGGCUAAAGAUGAAGAUAAUUUCAGCAUUAAAGUUUAAUAAUGCAACCUUUCGGCUAAAGACGAAGAUAAUUUUCAGUGGUGCAAGAUCUUCCGUAUCCCACAGCAUUAAAUUUUGAUUGCAUCUCCCAUUUGAUAAUAUAAUAAGUUUAAUAAUGCAACCUUAGGGAAAAUAAAGACUUAUGAGAUUCCACGUGAAGCUUUCUUUAGAAAAGCAAAAUUGGGAGAUUGGAGCAAUUAUCUCACACCCUCCAUGGUUGUACGUCUAGAGAAACUUAUUCAAGAGAAAUUGGAAAACUCAGGUUUAACAUUUAAAUUGUUCUCCAAAACUUCAAAAGAUAUUACUUCUACAAAAUGAGGGAUGUAUGUCUAUUGGCUUUAAUUUAUGAUGAAUAAAUUCCAUAUUUGCAUGUAGAGAGUCUUUCCCUCGCAAAAUACGGUUAUAUAAAAAAAUUGUGGUUAAAAUAUGCUUUUAGUCCCUAUAUUAUCUAGAAUUUGAGAUUUAGUUACUGUAUUUUAAAAGUGAAAAUUUUAAGCCUCUUGCUUUGUUAAUUUAAAAAUUUGUCUAAUCAUUAUCCUUUUUUGUAAUUUCUAUCAAAACUUGUCAACUUAACAUGUUUAUUUUUUUGUCAAUCAUGUGCAAUGUCAUAAGAGGGUAGUCUAAUUAGCAUGCCAAGUUUGCAAAUUUUGAUGAAAAAUACUAAUAAUAUUAAUGAUUGGAUUAAAAUUUUUAAAUUAAAAAAUUAAAAGAAUUUAGUUUUCAACUAUUUAAAUAUAAUGACUAAAUUUCAGAUCUUAUCUAAAUACAGGGACCUAAUAUUAUUCCAAGGACAUGUAAUAGUAAGGCUAUGAUUUAUGAAUAUCUAUAUAUCUAGAUGUAAUAAAACCCAACUCGCUUGAGAGCCGAGUAGGAAUAAAUAGGGGUAUUGUGAUAAGUCGUUGAGUGUAAAUAAGUAUAUUGUAGUGAUUUUAAAUUAUUUUUCACAUAAUUUUAGUUAAUUGAUUAUCUGUUUAAAAAUGUUAAAAACUUCAUCAAUUAAGUAAUAUUUUUAUAAUUGAAAAAUAUUCAUUCUAUAAAUUCCCCCUUCGCCAAUUGGUACUCUCUCUUCUCUUUUAGGUAGAAUUUCUCUUUUUCCGUUACCUUGGCUGAACUAUCAAAAAAAUUUGCUUAUUUAUUUUCAUCAAUUUAUGGGUAAUAAAACCGCCUCCUUUCAGAAUCAUUAGGAAUAAAUAGGAUUAUUGUAAUCAUUUAUUUGGAGUAAUAAACGUAUUGUAGUCAUAUUAAAUUAAUUUUAUUUAUUUAAAAAAAUUCAAAAAUCAAUUUCAACUCAAAACAUUUUAUUUAUUCUCAUUAAACAUCAAAUAAAAUUUCAAUUUUUUAUUAUUUUAACAUAAUCAAUAUUAACUAACCAAAUUUCGUAAUGGUUUUGAUAUUCUAUCUCAACAUUAAACUUUUUUCAUUGUUACUAAUUUUCAUGUGUAUAAAUAACACAUUUACUUCUUAUACAUAUUUCUAUUAUUGUUUUUAUUUGAGAUAUUUAUAAAUGUUUCAAAAAAAAUCAUAUUUAUCAGUUUUUUAUUUGCAUAAAAAUUACUAAAUAUAUUUGUAUAAUAUUUGUCAAAAAAAUUGAUUAAAUGUGCAUAAUCAAUAGUUUUAGAAAAAGUUGAAGUAAUUAUAGUUUUUAUAAAUUUAUUAUUACAUGUUUCAUUUGAUUAAAUUUAUUUUGAAUUUUACUAUAUAAUUAUAAUUAACUUAACAAUUUAAAAAAUACUAAAUAAUAAGUUAAUAUAAUAUAUGUUGAUAAUAAAUAUUAGAAUAAUAACCUACAAAUAUCACACCUAAUUAGGAUUUAUAUCUUCUAAAUUUGGAUUCUCAUUCCUUUUAGCGUAAGAGAAAUUAAAAUUUUACAAGUUAGAAGGUAAAUAUAAUUUAAAGCAUUUUUAAUUAUAAUCUCAAUUAAAAAUAUUUUGAAUUUAAAUUAUGAUAAGAUAUUUGGUUUGAAGUAUCUCAAGAGACAAAAAGACAAUCUUAUAGUUUGUAAGAUGCAAAUAGUUUGAUUAUCAUCAUAAUUAUUGAUUCUAAAUAUGUGCAUUGUAUAGGGAUAGAUUAAUUAUAAUCGUGAAAUGUAUUUGUACUUUAGAAACAACAUAACUUCAUAAGAAUAUCAUGAUAUAUACUAAAUUUCUUAGAAUGCUCAAAUGAUUAUUUUAUUUUAAACAUAAUUAAAUCAAUUGAUUUUUAUUUUAAUUCAUGAUAUGCGCAACGUGCGGAAUAGUCCUACACCAAAUUUGGUUCAGUGUAAUGGAAUAGAGUUGUAAUAGAAAAAAACUGUAAUACCAAUUUAAUUGUUUGGUUGAAUGGAAUGGAAUAAACCUGUAAUAGUAUUCUUGUGUUUGGUUGAAUGGAAUGCAUUUUUUAUAUCUGUGAGUAUUUAAGUUUUAGGCAUGGGUUAUUUUUUCUGGAAACUGUUGUUAAGUGCUUUGAGUGGUUGCCAAUUCCCCCAUGCCUCUAACAUAAGAACAAUGAAAACCCUAACUAUUAUAUGCCACAAUUAUUACUAGUUAAGGAAGCAGAGCAUGUUAAUUAUGCCCUAAAGACAAUAUUGGAAUUUACUGUGAAUUUUUCACAGAGGAUAUGGUUGUUGUUCUCAAUUUGUUGAGGUGAGAGGUAAACCUCAUUUAUAUAAAAAUAUUUGGACUAAAUUGAACAUUUUUAUUUUAUUUAAAUACGUGAAAAAUCAAAAUUUUAGAAAUAAUUUCACAUUAGAUCACUGUUUCCCAUUUAAAUAGGAGUGACUAAUCCAACACGUGUACAUACUUUUUCGAAUAUCUAUAAUAAAAUUUCUUGAAAAUUUGGUGUUUACCCUAAAAUAAAUUAUUAAAACAUAAAAUAUUUGAUAUGGUCUCUUUUUGGUCUGCUCCACAAAACUUGCUAUAUAAACAGAAAACUGGUUUUGAAUGUUGUUUUUCUUAUCCCUUUCUCGACCAGCUGCUUGUUUCACCUUGGAGAAAACAAAUAUGUGCAACUCCAGCUUGGUUUCCACAUCCCAUGAUGUUGAGGAGUCUUGGGAUGAUGAAUUCCAACAACUGGUGCAAACCUUCCCUAAAGAUAAAAGCUUCACAAGAAUGAAUCUUUACUUCUUCCAAGGUUUCUGGUGCCCAUCAAUUGUUUUAAAAGCUGUGAUUUCUUGUCAGAAACAUUUCCAAGCAUUUGAUUCUGAUAUUAUCAUCGCCACUUUGCCAAAAUGUGGCACUACUUCACUUAAAGCUUUGACUUUCUCCACUUUGUACCGCAAUCAGUUCACAAGGGAAAAGAAUCCCUUGCUCACCUAUAACCCUCACUCUCUUGUUCGCUUCAUUGAUUAUGACUUCUAUUUCAACGACACUUGUCCUGAUCUCGGAAAUUGUACACUUUAUCAGCCAAGACUUUUUUCUAUCCACUUGCCUUAUGCUUAUUUGCCAACUUCCAUUAAAGA